RNAcentral lists this long non-coding RNA (770 nucleotides) under Vulpes vulpes (red fox). Its description in RNAcentral is "lncRNA (ENSVVUG00000029993.1)". Lineage: Eukaryota; Metazoa; Chordata; Mammalia; Carnivora; Canidae. The record is from RNAcentral.
UGAACACUGACACAGACUUUACUUCAGAUGAUUCCACAGCCACUGUACUCUGCCUCAUGGUGACAAAAAGAUAAUUAUUGGGUAUCUAUGGAACUUAUCACUCCAGAAAAGGGAAUCGGAACAACUGUCCAUCUCAUCCAUGAGAGCGCAUGGCAUUCAAUCUUGGAAAGAAUUAAGAGACCAGCAAAAGAUGGAAAAUGAUAUGGCUAUGCACCAUGUAUAUGAGGUCGACAUCUUAGGAAAAGACAGAACAAUCAGAUGCAAACAGUUUCCAGAAUGACCAUGUGGAACAGUCAUUCACCAGCCAAGUCUGUCACCAUACAUCAGUUAUACGAUAAGUCAAUAAUUUUUUUUUCUUGAAGACAUUAACCUUUGGAACCUCUGUUAACACAGUUUAGCCUUCACCUUAACUAAUAUAAGUGGUUUGCACACAUUUGGAAUAAAACGAGUAUUAUCAAUUUCUUAGUAUCUUGCUAACAACAAGUCAUACAUCCAUCCAACAGCUUGUGAAGUAAUCUCAUAGAAGAUGGGGUAUAAUUACAGAAAAAACUGUCCGUUUUAUUCUGCAAAGAAAAGGUUAUUUGUUCGGCUUCAGUUAGCAGGGGACAUAUUCACACUUACAUCUGAUGAGACUUCGAUUAGAACCGUACUGCAAAGUAAAUCAGAAAUAUUGAACAUGUUUAUUAUUAUUGCAACCAAUGAAUAUGGUGGUACACCUUGCCACUAGGCCUUCUUUAAUGUCUCUCAAUAAAAUUAUACAAUUCUCUUCA